This 253-nucleotide unclassified non-coding RNA is filed under the name uncultured Bacillaceae bacterium. Its description in RNAcentral is "contains 16S-23S intergenic spacer region". It matches the Rfam family "Bacterial small subunit ribosomal RNA", at positions 524 to 776 of the family's 1533-position model. The record is from RNAcentral. Lineage: Bacteria; Bacillati; Bacillota; Bacilli; Caryophanales; Bacillaceae.
UACGUAGGUGGCAAGCGUUGUCCGGAAUUAAUGGGCGUAAAGCGUACGCAGGCGGUUUCUUAAGUCUGAUGUGAAAGCCCACGGCUCAACCGUGGAGGGUCAUUGGAAACCGGGGAACUUGAGUACAGAAGAGGAGAGUGGAAUUCCACGUGUAGCGGUGAAAUGCGUAGAGAUGUGGAGGAACACCAGUGGCGAAGGCGACUCUCUGGUCUGUAACUGACACUGAGGCGCGAAAGCGUGGGGAGCAAACAGG